GCCGAGGUGGCGGAAUCGGCAGACGCGACGGACUUAAAAUCCGUUGCCCGCAAGGGCGUAGGGGUUCGACCCCCCUCCUCGGCA
This 84-nucleotide transfer RNA is filed under the name Chloroflexota bacterium. Its description in RNAcentral is "Chloroflexi bacterium tRNA-Leu". It matches the Rfam family "tRNA". From Rfam's summary of the family: Transfer RNA (tRNA) molecules are approximately 80 nucleotides in length. Their secondary structure includes four short double-helical elements and three loops (D, anti-codon, and T loops). Further hydrogen bonds mediate the characteristic L-shaped molecular structure. tRNAs have two regions of fundamental functional importance: the anti-codon, which is responsible for specific mRNA codon recognition, and the 3' end, to which the tRNAs corresponding amino acid is attached (by aminoacyl-tRNA synthetases). tRNAs cope with the degeneracy of the genetic code in two manners: having more than one tRNA (with a specific anti-codon) for a particular amino acid; and 'wobble' base-pairing, i.e. permitting non-standard base-pairing at the 3rd anti-codon position. RNAcentral also lists the same sequence under 1 other name. The record is from RNAcentral. Lineage: Bacteria; Bacillati; Chloroflexota.